AAAUUGUUCUCUUAGCAUCCUUGAGG
This 26-nucleotide non-coding RNA is filed under the name Cricetulus griseus (Chinese hamster). The record is from RNAcentral. Lineage: Eukaryota; Metazoa; Chordata; Mammalia; Rodentia; Cricetidae.